This 497-nucleotide ribosomal RNA is filed under the name uncultured bacterium. RNAcentral's name for it is "partial 16S ribosomal RNA". It matches the Rfam family "Bacterial small subunit ribosomal RNA", at positions 28 to 507 of the family's 1533-position model. The record is from RNAcentral.
GAUGAACGCUGGCGGCGUGCCUAAUACAUCCAAGUCGAGGGAAAGAACAGGAGGCUUGCUCUCCGGCGGUUGCGGGCGGAGGGGUGAGAAACACGUGGAAAACCACCUUAAAGGACUGGGAAAAUUUGGGGAACCGGGAGUAAAUACCGGAAAAUAAAUUGAACGGCAGGGUCCAUAAGUAAAAGAGGGUUUUCUUUUAACUAUUAGAUGGUUCCGCGCCGCAUUAGCUAGUGGGUAAGGUAACGGCUUACAAAGGCAACGAUGCGUAGCCGACCUGAGAGGGUGAUCGGCCACACUGGAACUGAGACACGGUCCAGACUCCUACGGGAGGCAGCAGUAGGGAAUCUUCCGCAAUGGGCGAAAGCCUGACGGAGCAACGCCGCGUGAGUGAUGAAGGUCUUCGGAUCGUAAAACUCUGUUAUUAGGGAAGAACAAAUGUGUAAGUAACUAUGCACGUCUUGACGGUACCUAAUCAGAAAGCCACGGCUAACUACGUG